AAUGUAGACGAUUCAUUAGGGAGCACUUAGAGGUAUCGGGCACAAAGGCGGUGUUUGCCUUAGAAAUGGUUGCUGCGAGGGGGCCGGGUCCCGCUCCCGGGGCCGGCGGCUCUGCGCCUCGGUGCCCGGGCUGGCCAGGAGCGAGGUGAGAGCCCGCUGCGGGCCCCGGGCCCGGGAGCGCCUCUGCACCCCCCCGGGCCGCGAGCGUGGCGUGGGGUGGAAUCACGCGGGUCCCGCUCUCAGCACCGAAGGGGGUGCCAGCCCCGAGGGGCACACGGCACCUCCGUCUGACUGCUCACGGACGGCCGCGGUGCCCCGUCCGCGAAGGGGAUGCCCCCGCCCCAGCUGAUGGGGCUGGUUUUUUCCCCCGGACGACGGCGGACGCGGCACCCUUUCGCUGCCAAGAGGUGCGUGAACGGGCCCGACUUCGGAAGCAGAAAUGCGGUCACCCGAAACAUGUCCACCCGGGGACCCCGCCCCUCGGCUGCUCCCUCCGGGGACCCAGUGAAGGCGAAGGACGGGGGGUCGCAAACCCAAAGCUGGGCUGGACCACAGUCCCGAACAUUUCAACAAAGGUACACCCUCCGAUUGUUUGCCGAUGCAGAUGCCAGCCUUCUCCACUCGCACUCAGAAAACUGCCCGGGAGAUAUUCGUGGGUUUAUUUCUGCCCCCUGAUUUGGGUGGCUGAAGUUGUUUUUAUUCCGUCGACUCUUCCCUUUCUGCGGAGGGCAGUGCCGGUCGCAGGUGCUCCGAGGCGGCGCCGCGGCCCGGGGCCCCAUCCUGCCCCCCUGGCCGGGGAACGCCGGACCGCUCGGCGGAGGAGGGCCCCGCUGUGCCGCCCCUCGCCCCCGGGGCUGCCCCUGCCCAGCCCCGCCGGGUCGCGGCCGGCCCCGCCGCGCCGCCUCGACGACCCCUGCCCCGCCGGCGCGCCCUGCAAACGCGCCCGGCGCCCCCCCCCCGCCCCGGGCCGGGGCCUCCUCACCGCCCAAACUCCGCGUAAAUCUUUACAGAGCUCCCCCACCGCCCCGAAUUACUCCCCGCUUGUUUUUAAUGACGUUAAAUGAGCCGUUUUCGCUCCCUCGCACGUGGCCCGUCGGAGGUAAUUGCCGUGCAGGGAAAGGCGAAGUUCCCCUAUAAAUUGCGGCGAGGGCCGGAGCCCGCAGCCCGGCGGGCCUCCGCUGUGCCGGUGUCCCGGGCGCGGGGCUGAGACACCACCUCCGACACUGGCAGAAGCCCCGCGGCCGCCAGCUCCUUCCCUCCCCGCACAGAGCGAGCGUCCGGCUGGAAGGAGGUGCCCGUAAGCUCCCCUCUGCACAUCGCGGGGCGGGGGGAGGCACCCCCUUCCCACGGAGCCCGCUUUUAGUUUAUUUUUGCACCGUGUCUGGGGGCUUCUUGAGCACAGGAUUAAAGCAGCAGCAGGGCAGUUAGGAGGGAGACAGAAACCAGGGGACUGUUCUACCCUCUCUUGACUUCCAAGUCUUAAAGUGAUCACAGAAAGCUGCGCUUUCUGCGCCGGGGACCCGCGUUUUUAACGUGAGCCGCAUCCCUGUCAUGCCCGUGGACCAUUGCCCGCCGCGGCCCCCAUUUGCCUACGAGAAGAGAGGGAAGGAACAUAAUCGCGAGGGCGAGUGGCGAAGGGGCACACGCUGCAUCCGUGACAGGCUCCGCCGCUUAUCUGUAAGAGGUUUGGAGCCGCGUCGGUCCGCUUAAACCCUUUUAUUACCCACGCCCCGAAUAUUUCCAUUACACACGGUCUGUGCUCCUCAGCUGAUACGCGAAACCUGCUGCCUUAUCGCUGUCGGUCGAUUGAUAUUUUUCUGUGUACAAGCCCAAGGCAUUAAAUCAAUGUCUCCACUC
Molecule: non-coding RNA, 1857 nt
Organism: Phalacrocorax carbo (great cormorant)
Lineage: Eukaryota; Metazoa; Chordata; Aves; Suliformes; Phalacrocoracidae
Source: RefSeq, a predicted model, not a curated record